GCACCCGUGGUGGAAUUGGCAGACACGUAAGAUUCAGGUUCUUAUGCCUAACAGCGUGUGGGUUCGAGUCCCACCGGGUGCACCA
Molecule: transfer RNA, 85 nt
Filed under: bacterium
Lineage: Bacteria
Description: tRNA-Leu
Rfam family: tRNA
About the family: Transfer RNA (tRNA) molecules are approximately 80 nucleotides in length. Their secondary structure includes four short double-helical elements and three loops (D, anti-codon, and T loops).
Source: RNAcentral